This 730-nucleotide ribosomal RNA is filed under the name Macrolepiota colombiana. Its description in RNAcentral is "eukaryotic LSU rRNA". The stretch from base 327 to 480 matches the Rfam family "5.8S ribosomal RNA". The record is from RNAcentral. Lineage: Eukaryota; Fungi; Basidiomycota; Agaricomycetes; Agaricales; Agaricaceae.
AAGUAAAAGUCGUAACAAGGGUUUCCGUAGGUGAACCUGCGGAAGGAUCAUUAUUKRAUAUACUUGAUGGGUUGUAGCUGGCUCUUCGGAGCAAUGUGCACACCUGUCUUGUUCCUUAUUCAUCCACCUGUGCACUUUCUGUAGUCUUCUAGGGAUUGAGAGUAGCCAACUAUCGAGUCUUCUCGGAUGUGAGGAAUGCUUGCGCCCAAAAGUGCAGCUUUCCUCAAAUGGUUGCGAACCUUUCCUGGAGUCUAUGUUUUCAUAUACCACAUAGUAUGUUUCAGAAUGUAUUCAAUGGGCCUUUUGUGCCUAUAAAUGAUCUAUACAACUUUCAGCAACGGAUCUCUUGGCUCUCGCAUCGAUGAAGAACGCAGCGAAAUGCGAUAAGUAAUGUGAAUUGCAGAAUUCAGUGAAUCAUCGAAUCUUUGAACGCACCUUGCGCUCCUUGGUAUUCCGAGGAGCAUGCCUGUUUGAGUGUCAUUAAAUUCUCAACCCCUCCAAUUUUUUCUGAUUGUGAUGGGGCUUGGAUAUGGAGGCUUGCUGGACUUUUAAAAGGGCCACUCCCCCUAAAAGGCUUAACCGAACCCUUUGGCAACCCUCCCCAGGGGGAAAAUUAAUCACCCCCGGGGGGCCCUCCUCGGCUGGUCCACUUGCCAUCCUCCUCCAUGGACAAUCAUAUUGAAUAUUUGACCUCAAAUCAGGUAGGACUACCCGCUGAACUUAAGCAUAU